Long non-coding RNA from Mesocricetus auratus (golden hamster), 1086 nucleotides. RefSeq lists it as uncharacterized. The record is from RefSeq and is a predicted model, not a curated record. The transcript has 2 exons. NCBI's taxonomy places the organism in Eukaryota, Metazoa, Chordata, Mammalia, Rodentia, Cricetidae.
CGCGCGCGCCCGGGCAGCUCCGCGGGCCGUGACGCGGGAGCGCGCGGGCCGCCGCCGUGCGGUGCUGCGGCCCACGUGACCCGCGCGCGCUGAGGCGUACGGCCUCCGCCUCCCGUCGGCGUGCUCGUCCCUCCCCCAGGGCUGUGGAGAACCCGGACCGUUUCUUCUCCUCAAGGCGGGUGCUCCUGCGGGACUUGAGGUGCGGGCAGCUGACCUGCCUGGUCGGGUCGAGCCUAAGCUCUCCGACCCGGGUGACUGUGAGCGCUGCGAGCGCCCAGCCGCCUUCGCCGCCUCUGGGUUUGCUUGGCCCGGGCGCCUGAGCCCUGCUAGCCGAGCCUCCUCCGCGCUGUGGCUGAGGUCUGGAGACAUGGCAGCCCCUUGUCACGCCCCGGCGCGGAGCGUUGGUGUGAGGGUGUGAGGUUGGCCAUGGAGAACUGGAGAUGCCAGAAGAAGGCCAGACCCCUUAGCUCGGGAACAACAGUCCCAGGGCGGCCAGAUGAGCCUGGUGGGGGAAGGGCGAGCCAUCAUGGCCGUCUAGUAGGGAAAGAGCCUUAGCACGAAUCCCGCCAUUUUAAGCCGAAGAACCUCAGACGGGAAGAAAGGGCCUUGAAUGAGGUCACUGCCCAGAGAAAAGCCAGUAGGUCUCGCCCCUACACUUCAUCUUUCCUCGUCUAAGCCCUCCAGUAGACUUUUCCCACUUAGUGGAAGCAGCUCUCAACUGUGGCUUUAGGACUGAUGGAAAAAUAGGAGAACCGAGGGCAAGGCUGAGAACCUGUGAAUGAUGUGUUAAUAGCCACAAACUUCAGGACAGUAAACAGAAGAUGUACUAUAUUCACCUUUGUACCUCCACCACCAAUUCAUGACAACAGCUAAAAGGACUCAAAUGUUCAAAAUGGGUAGAAGGAGAAAGCCUGCGAUCAGCAGCUCUCCUAUGCAGAUGCCAGGGACCACCCUACCGACUAUUUAAGACCCAGACCAUAGAUCUGCCACGUGUGCCGUGGUGUUCUGUCUCUCCCCUGCUUUCCGAGCCCCACCGGGGAGUGCUCUGCUUUGUAUUGCCCUGUUUAUUAAAUCUGGAUUUAUUAA